Molecule: ribosomal RNA, 450 nt
Filed under: uncultured bacterium
Lineage: Bacteria
Description: partial 16S ribosomal RNA
Rfam family: Bacterial small subunit ribosomal RNA
Source: RNAcentral
GUGGGGAAUAUUCCGCAAUGGACGAAAGUCUGACGGAGCAACGCCGCGUGAGUGAUGAAGGUUUUCGGACUGUAAAGCUCUGUUGUUUGGGACGAAAGUGCCUGUUGCGAACAGUUACGGGUAUUGACGGUACUAAACGAGGAAGCCACGGCUAACUACGUGCCAGCAGCCGCGGUAAUACGUAGGUGGCAAGCGUUGUCCGGAAUUAUUGGGCGUAAAGAGCAUGUAGGCGGGAAUCUAAGUCUGUUGUUAAAAUGCGGGGCUAAACCCCGUAUUGCGAUGGAAACUGGGUUUCUUGAGUGCAGGAGAGGAAAGGGGAAUUCCCAGUGUAGCGGUGAAAUGCGUAGAUAUUGGGAGGAACACCAGUGGCGAAGGCGCCUUUCUGGACUGUGUCUGACGCUGAGAUGCGAAAGCCAGGGUAGCGAACGGGAUUAGAUACCCCGGUAGUCC